AGUGAACGCUGGCGGUAGGCCUAACACAUGCAAGUCGAACGGCAGCACAGUAAGAGCUUGCUCUUACGGGUGGCGAGUGGCAGACGGGUGAGGAAUACAUCGGAAUCUACUUUUUCGUGGGGGAUAACGUAGGGAAACUUACGCUAAUACCGCAUACGACCUACGGGUGAAAGCAGGGGAUCUUCGGACCUUGCGCGAUUGAAUGAGCCGAUGUCGGAUUAGCUAGUUGGCGGGGUAAAGGCCCACCAAGGCGACGAUCCGUAGCUGGUCUGAGAGGAUGAUCAGCCACACUGGAACUGAGACACGGUCCAGACUCCUACGGGAGGCAGCAGUGGGGAAUAUUGGACAAUGGGCGCAAGCCUGAUCCAGCCAUACCGCGUGGGUGAAGAAGGCCUUCGGGUUGUAAAGCCCUUUUGUUGUGAAAGAAAAGCAGCAGGUUAAUACCCCGCUGUUCUGACGGUACCCAAAGAAUAAGCACCGGCUAACUUCGUG
This 492-nucleotide ribosomal RNA is filed under the name uncultured bacterium. RNAcentral describes it as "partial 16S ribosomal RNA". It matches the Rfam family "Bacterial small subunit ribosomal RNA", at positions 29 to 507 of the family's 1533-position model. The record is from RNAcentral.